UGCAAGUCGAACGGCAGUCGCAAGACUGUAGUGGCGCACGGGUGAGUAACACGUAGCUUACCUCCCUCUCAGCGCGGGAUAACGACUCGAAAGAGUUGCUAAUACCGCAUAAGCUCACGGGUUCCAGAGACUUGUGAGAAAAGGCUUCGGUCACUGAGAGACGGGGCUGCGGCCCAUCAGCUAGUUGGCGUGGUAAUGGCACACCAAGGCGACGACGGGUAGGGGACCUGAGAGGGUGACCCCCCACACUGGGACUGAGACACGGCCCAGACUCCUACGGGAGGCAGCAGUGAGGAAUAUUGCACAAUGGGCGCAAGCCUGAUGCAGCGACGCCGCGUGGGUGAUGAAGGUCUUCGGAUCGUAAAGCCCUUUUCUGCGUGACGAGACAGGACGGUAGCGCAGGAAUAAGUCUCGGCUAACUACGUGCCAGCAGCCGCGGUAAAACGUAGGAGACAAACGUUAUCCGGAGUUACUGGGCGUAAAGGGCGUGUAGGCGGUAUGCUAAGUCUGGCGUGAAAGCUCUCGGCUAAACCGGGAGAGGUCGUUGGAUACUGGCAAACUAGAGGAUGGUAGAGGCGUGUGGAAUUCCGGGUGUAGUGGUGAAAUGCGUAGAGAUCCGGAGGAACACCAGUGGCGAAGGCGACACGCUGGGCCAUACCUGACGCUAAAGCGCGACAGCAUGGGGAGCAAACGGGAUUAGAAACCCCGGUAGUCCAUGCCGUAAACGAUGCCAGCUAGAUGUUCACGCCUCGCAAGAGGCUGGGGUAUCGAAGCUAACGCGAUAAGCUGGCCGCCUGGGGAGUACGGUCGCAAGGCUAAAACUCAAAGGAAUUGACGGGGGCCCGCACAAGCAGCGGAGCGUGUGGUUUAAUUCGAGGCUACACGAAGAACCUUACCUGGGUUUGACAUAGCGGUGGUAGUGAACUGAAAAGG
RNAcentral lists this ribosomal RNA (933 nucleotides) under uncultured Caldilineaceae bacterium. RNAcentral's name for it is "bacterial SSU rRNA". It matches the Rfam family "Bacterial small subunit ribosomal RNA", at positions 56 to 1009 of the family's 1533-position model. Lineage: Bacteria; Bacillati; Chloroflexota; Caldilineae; Caldilineales; Caldilineaceae. The record is from RNAcentral.